CCCUAUGGGGUGCAGCAGGCGCGAAACCUUUACAAUGCACGAAAGUGUGAUAAGGGAACCCAAAGUGCUUAGCUUAGCUAGGCUUUUGCUAAGAGUAAAUAUCUUAGAGAAUAAGUGAUGGGAAAGACUGGUGCCAGCCGCCGCGGUAAUACCAGCGUCACGAGUGGGGACUGCAAUUAUUGGGCCUAAAGCGUCCGUAGCCUGUUUGAUAAAUUUCUUGUGAAAUUGUUAAGCUCAACUUAACAACGUGCAGGAAAGACUGUCAAACUCGGGGCUGGGAGAGGUUAGAAGUAUCUUUGGGGUAGCGGUAAAAUGUUAUAAUCCUAAGGAGACUACCAAUGGCGAAGGCAUUUAACCAGAACAGGUCCGACGGUGAGGGACGAAAGCUAGGGGAGCAAACCGGAUUAGAUACCCGAGUAGUCCUAGCUGUAAACGCUGCGAGCAGGAUGUUGUGUACUCUUCGUGCAUAUGCAGUAUCGAAGAGAAGUCGUUAAGCUCGCCGCCUGGGAAGUAUGGUCGCAAGACUGAAACUUAAAGGAAUUGGCGGGGGAGCACUACAAAGGGUGCGGCGUGCGGUUUAAUCUAACUCAACGCAGAGAGUCUCACCAGGAGCGACGGCAGGAUGAAAGUCAGAUUAAAGGUUUUACUUGACGAGCCGAGAAGAAGUGCAUGGCC
This 675-nucleotide ribosomal RNA is filed under the name uncultured archaeon. Its description in RNAcentral is "bacterial SSU rRNA". It matches the Rfam family "Archaeal small subunit ribosomal RNA", at positions 321 to 999 of the family's 1478-position model. The record is from RNAcentral.